AUUUCGAGCUUAUGAUUAUUUUUGGUGAUGGAUGGAAGUUGUAGUAGAACAGAAUUAUUAAAAUGACUUCCAACAAACAAGUGAUUGUCAGGAAGUGCUAUUAGACAAGAAGCAAUUGAAGACUCACCUAAUUUUUCCAAUUCCAUUGAAACAGUCUCAUCAGUGAACAAAGCUUUAAACUUGUACAACAUACCCGACUCAUCCGCUACAAUAUAAAUACUAGAAUCGAGGCCAGUCUCGGGAUCAUUAGAAAUGGAAGGAGAGAACGCAGUGAUCGGGUAUGUUAAAAGAAGUUUCGAAACCUGAAUAUCUUUACUUAUAUAGUAUACAUACAUCUCCCCGAACACAAAAACACCACCAUUCUCACUAGGUAUCAAUUUACCUUCCUCAAUGUCAUGACAAACAACAUCAUCCUCGUCGAUUUCUUGUUCACGAACGUUUAUUUUGUACGUAGAAAGAUGCACAAUCGACUUGCUAUCCUUGUAGAGAACUGCUAAAGAUGGACGGGAUGAGUUAUAAAGCAUGGCUAUGUCGACAACAUUUAACUCUUGAAUCCGCACACUAAAAUUAUCAUGCAAUGAAGGAUUGUUAUGAGAAGUCAUAAAUCGUUUUUUUGACUUAAAAAUUGGGAUAAUAGUCAGUAAACCCUGAUAUACAUGUAAACAAAUAACCCGUUGAAAUGGAUCCACUAACAGCAAAGGUCCAGAUUGACUUUCCCGAAGAGACCUUUCACUGCAAUCCUGUAUCUUUAUUCCAUUAGAAACAGUGUUAUCAUUGGCAUCCCAAAAAAGUGUAAAAUAACGAAAGGAAUCUGUUGCAACGAUUAUAUGAUCUGUCGGGGAUGAAACAGGCUUAAAAG
Schizosaccharomyces pombe (fission yeast) is the source of this 859-nucleotide non-coding RNA. NCBI's taxonomy places the organism in Eukaryota, Fungi, Ascomycota, Schizosaccharomycetes, Schizosaccharomycetales, Schizosaccharomycetaceae. The record is from the annotation of a GenBank genome assembly.